Sarcophilus harrisii (Tasmanian devil) is the source of this 749-nucleotide long non-coding RNA. RefSeq lists it as uncharacterized. Lineage: Eukaryota; Metazoa; Chordata; Mammalia; Dasyuromorphia; Dasyuridae. The record is from RefSeq and is a predicted model, not a curated record. The transcript is spliced from 3 exons.
GUACCAAAGUGGAAGAACAGCAUUUGUCUAGAUCCAGUGGUUUCCAAAGUGGGGGCAACCAAAGCAUAAUAUCAAGUGGUGUUUGUUUGAACCAAGUAUGGGAAGAUGGGUCACAUUCAGGAAACACCUUGAAGCUUCAAUAGGUACCCCUUUGAAGGAAGGCUAGACACCAAGGCAGUGAUACACCAAGAUCUUCAGGUUUCCUGGGCGGACACCGAGAUUUUUAAGUUACCCAUAUCCUAACAAGAUACAACCUGUUUUACAAGGUCCUUUCUUAUUUGUCUGGAAACUUGUUCAUGGAGACAGGUACCUCUACCCACAAAUGGAAUGUUGAAUUGGGGAACAAAGAAUUUCACUCAGGUAAUUAUAAAUUAGACUCCUCAGAGUUCUUUGCUGUUGUCCCCUUUAAUGCUGAUCUGCCCUUAAAAGUAAUAACUAAUAUAUUUGUGCUUACUGGAAAAAACAACAACAUAAUUUUGUAGCAGAACAAUAACAAUAUAAGAGUUUGAAUCUUAAAUCCUAGUUAUAGAACACUUAUAUAAACUCAAAUCUUGUCCUUUUUUAAGUAGAUAAUAUCCCAUAUACACAUACAUUAGGACAUAUAAUGGGUCUCUUCUUGAUGUAACAUAAAAAACUAAUGAGGUGUAACAAUUAAAAGUUAUCAUGAAAUUCUUCUAUGUGGCCAACCUAAUUCCUUUUUCCAAAACCUACUUAUUAUUAUUAUUAAUAAUUAGGCAAUUUUACUCACA